ACAGAGACUGCAAGCGUUAUUCGGAUUCACUGGGCGUAAAGGGUGCGCAGGCGGCCAAGUGUGUUAGGCGUGAAAGCCCGGGGCUCAACCCCGGAAUUGCCUUUAAGACUGCAUCGCUUGAAUCCAGGAGAGGUGAGUGGAAUUCCGAGUGUAGAGGUGAAAUUCGUAGAUAUUCGGAAGAACACCAGUGGUGAAGGCGGCUCACUGGACUGGUAUUGACGCUGAGGUGCGAAAGCGUGGGGAGCAAACAGGA
This 253-nucleotide ribosomal RNA is filed under the name uncultured prokaryote. RNAcentral describes it as "partial 16S ribosomal RNA". It matches the Rfam family "Bacterial small subunit ribosomal RNA", at positions 525 to 777 of the family's 1533-position model. The record is from RNAcentral.